Molecule: long non-coding RNA, 602 nt
Organism: Homo sapiens (human)
Lineage: Eukaryota; Metazoa; Chordata; Mammalia; Primates; Hominidae
Source: Ensembl
GAGUAGCUGGGAUUAUAGGCAUGUGCCGCCAUGCCUGCCUAGUUUUUUAUUUUUAGUAGAGAUGGGGUUUCACCAUGUUGGUCAGGCUGCUCUCAAACUCCUGACCUUGUGAUCUGUGCGCCUCAGCCUCCCAAAGUGCUGGGAUUACUGGUGUGACCGACCGUGCCUGGCCAAUGUGUAUGAUUUAAUAGCCAGCAGCAACAGGCCACUAACAUGCCAUCUGCUAACAGGGGCUCUAGCUAUUAACAUCAACAGAGCUAAAAACUCUUAUGUCUGAUCCCUUGCAAAUGGCGAAGACCUGGCUGAGAAUUAUUAUCUCAUGCUUUCAGAGAAAACUUUGCUUGUCCUGCACUGAAAAAUCUGGCUGCAAUAAUCACAUGGAAGAAGAAAAAGAUUCCAUGAUACUAGUUAUCUAAAUAUCCUCCCUGGUACUGAGAUUUGAAGUUUAUUGUGCUGCCCUAUUCUUGGGCAUUUCGUAAUAUUCAAGAUAUCUGAACCACCAUCUGUUCUGUGGAAGUGUGACUAAUUAGUGGCUAAUGUUUUCAGUAGUAUAGUGCCAAAUAAAAAGUUCUAAUAAUUUAAUUAUAAAGAGUCAACAAUAA